UUAUGCAGAGCUAAUAGGUCAGCUAUAUGGUAGGUCAUUGAGACAUAAACCAAAGAUCACAGUAAAACCACAUUGAAAAUUCUUGAACACUAGACAGAACCAUCAAUACAAUUAGAGUUACCUGAGGGACUAGAUGACGUAACAUGAGCAAAAUAGAAUGGGCAAGAACUUAAAUGGACAGGCAAGGAAAGUAUCAACAAGUAGACAUAGUGUAGGCAUUCUGAACAAACAAGAUUUAACUAUGCAAUGUAAACAAUAGACAGGCCAGCAUAAUUUAGACAUGUUAAUCACAUAUGGAACCAGGUAGUAUUAUGGAUGUUAGAUAAAUAGUAGACAAGUAGGUAAGUUGAGAUAUACUAAUCAAAUAUUGAAUAAGGUGUAUUAGGCAUGCUAGAUAACAGUAAACAUGAGCAAGAAUGAACUCAAUACUGAUGGAUUAAGGCAGUAAAGUAGCACAUAGAGUUUAC
This 467-nucleotide long non-coding RNA is filed under the name Nicotiana benthamiana. RNAcentral describes it as "long non-coding RNA (NBEN_LNC011061)". Lineage: Eukaryota; Viridiplantae; Streptophyta; Magnoliopsida; Solanales; Solanaceae. The record is from RNAcentral.